GCUGGGUGCAGCUACUGCUCAUGCCUGUAAUCCCAGCACUUUGGGAGGCUGAGGUGGGCAGAUCACGAGGUCAGGAGAUUGAGACUAUCCUGGCAAACAUGGUGAAACCCCAUCUCUAUUAAAAAUACAAAAAUUAGCUGGGCGUGGCGGCACGUACCUGUAAUCCCAGCUACUCGGGAGGCUGAGGCAGGAGAAUCNNNNNNNNNNGAUUCUCCUGCCUCAGCCUCCCGAGUAGCUGGGAUUACAGGUACGUGCCGCCACGCCCAGCUAAUUUUUGUAUUUUUAAUAGAGAUGGGGUUUCACCAUGUUUGCCAGGAUAGUCUCAAUCUCCUGACCUCGUGAUCUGCCCACCUCAG
Molecule: non-coding RNA, 356 nt
Organism: Gorilla gorilla gorilla (western lowland gorilla)
Lineage: Eukaryota; Metazoa; Chordata; Mammalia; Primates; Hominidae
Source: Rfam